Micropterus dolomieu (smallmouth bass) is the source of this 590-nucleotide long non-coding RNA. RefSeq lists it as uncharacterized. The transcript has 2 exons. Lineage: Eukaryota; Metazoa; Chordata; Actinopteri; Centrarchiformes; Centrarchidae. The record is from RefSeq and is a predicted model, not a curated record.
UUAAAUGUUUAGUGAAGCGAUCGACGUGUGAAAAGGAGACGAGGGUUUGCGUUUGUGAUCACUGCAGCUGCCAGAAGUGGAGUCAGUUAGAAUCUGCCAAGCAGCAAAACUUCCCCUGACUGAAAUACUUUAUUUUGAAGACGACUGACGAUUUUCUGAACUGUUAUGGUUUAAUCUUUAAAGCGGCUAACUCUGUCAGAGAAAUGUACUGUAGUAGAAAGUGGUAAAGUACAAACUCAGACGUCCUGCAGACUAAAAUCUAUCAGCACAAACUCUAGUGAAGCGAGUGUUGCAGACAAACGCCACUCUAAGGUCAGAGGUGACGGUCUUCCCCUCCCCCUGCAGCGCUGGAGGUGGCGGGGGCCAGCGCCAGUUGCAGACCUGGAGGUCCGUGCCCCAUCAACAACAAUGACCCCGACCUCCAGAAGGCCCUCCUCGUCGCCCCCAACUACUACAACACCCAAUCAAAAGACUCCUUCCUCUACAAAAUCUCCUCCAUCAAAAAGGCACGGAGUCAGGUUGUUGAAGGGACUUUGUACAUCGUGGAUUUGGCGAUUUCCAGGACCGUCUGCCGUAAACCCCCCAGCGUC